RNAcentral lists this ribosomal RNA (498 nucleotides) under uncultured bacterium. RNAcentral describes it as "partial 16S ribosomal RNA". It matches the Rfam family "Bacterial small subunit ribosomal RNA", at positions 28 to 523 of the family's 1533-position model. The record is from RNAcentral.
GAUGAACGCUAGCGGCAGGCCUAAUACAUGCAAGUCGGACGGGAUCGGGGAGCUUGCUCCCCGUGAGAGUGGCGCACGGGUGCGUAACACGUAUGUAACCUACCUUUAUCAGGGGGAUAGCCUCUCGAAAGAGAGAUUAACACCGCAUAACAUCACAUGAUAGCAUUAUCGAGUGAUCAAAUAUUCAUAGGAUAAAGAUGGGCAUGCGGGACAUUAGCUAGUUGGCGGGAUAACGGCCCACCAAGGCGACGAUGUCUAGGGGAUCUGAGAGGAUGAACGCCCACACGGGUACUGAGACACGGACCAGACUCCUACGGGAGGCAGCAGUAAGGAAUAUUGGUCAAUGGACGCAAGUCUGAACCAGCCAUGCCGCGUGCAGGAGGACGGCCCUACGGGUUGUAAACUGCUUUUGUACCGGAAUAAACCCUUUUACGUGUAAGAGGCUGAAUGUACGGUAAGAAUAAGGAUCGGCUAACUCCGUGCCAGCAGCCGCAGUAC